UAGCAUGGAUGAGCAAGAAGCUCACAAGG
RNAcentral lists this non-coding RNA (29 nucleotides) under Mus musculus (house mouse). Lineage: Eukaryota; Metazoa; Chordata; Mammalia; Rodentia; Muridae. The record is from RNAcentral.